RNAcentral lists this ribosomal RNA (496 nucleotides) under uncultured bacterium. RNAcentral's name for it is "bacterial SSU rRNA". It matches the Rfam family "Bacterial small subunit ribosomal RNA", at positions 29 to 499 of the family's 1533-position model. The record is from RNAcentral.
AACGAACGCUGGCGGCGUGGAUAAGACAUGCAAGUCGAACGCUGAUUCGAGGGUAGCAAUAUUCUCGAGUCAGAGUGGCGCAAGGGUGCGUAACACGUGGGCAAUCUACCGCGAAGACCGGAAUAACCUGCUGAAAGGCGGGCUAAUGCCGGAUGUGACUGUCUGGAGGAUUCUUCGGACACUCAAAGUUGGGGACCGUAAGGCCUGACACUUCGCGAUGAGCCCGCGGCCUAUCAGCUAGUUGGCGGGGUAACGGCCCACCAAGGCUAAGACGGGUAGCUGGUCUGAGAGGACGACCAGCCACACUGGAACUGAGACACGGUCCAGACACCUACGGGUGGCAGCAGUCGAGAAUUUUUCACAAUGGGCGAAAGCCUGAUGGAGCGACGCCGCGUGGGGGAUGAAGGGCUUCGGCUGUAAACCCCUGUCAUUCGAGAACAAACCCUGCGAUUUAAUAGAUCGCGGCUGAUAGUAUCGGAAGAGGAAGGGACGGCGU